Molecule: ribosomal RNA, 503 nt
Filed under: uncultured bacterium
Lineage: Bacteria
Description: partial 16S ribosomal RNA
Rfam family: Bacterial small subunit ribosomal RNA
Source: RNAcentral
GAUGAACGCUAGCGGCAGGCCUAACACAUGCAAGUCGAGGGGUAGCAGGAUUAAGCUUGCUUAAUUGCUGACGACCGGCGCACGGGUGCGUAACGCAUAUGCAACCUACCUUAUACUGGGGUAUAGCCCGGAGAAAUUCGGAUUAAUCCCCCAUAGUACUAAUGAAUCGCAUGGUUUAUUAGUUAAAGCAUUGCGGUAUAAGAUGGGCAUGCGUCCUAUUAGCUAGAUGGUGAGGUAACGGCUCACCAUGGCUACGAUAGGUAGGGGGCCUGAGAGGGUGGUCCCCCACACGGGUACUGAGACACGGACCAGACUCCUACGGGAGGCAGCAGUGAGGAAUAUUGGUCAAUGGGCGCAAGCCUGAACCAGCCAUGCCGCGUGCAGGAAGAAUGCCCUAUGGGUUGUAAACUGCUUUUAUUUGGGAAUAAACCUCUUUACGUGUAGAGAGCUGAAGGUACCAAAUGAAUAAGCACCGGCUAACUCCGUGCCAGCCGCCGCAGUAA